ACAGAGGUCUCAAGCGUUGUUCGGAUUCAUUGGGCGUAAAGGGUGCGUAGGCGGCGGGGCAAGUCUGAUGUGAAAUCCCGGGGCUCAACCCCGGAACUGCAUUGGAUACUGCUCUGCUUGAGCACUGGAGAGGAGACUGGAAUUUACGGUGUAGCAGUGAAAUGCGUAGAGAUCGUAAGGAAGACCAGUGGCGAAGGCGAGUCUCUGGACAGUUGCUGACGCUGAGGCACGAAGGCCAGGGGAGCAAACGGGA
Molecule: ribosomal RNA, 253 nt
Filed under: uncultured prokaryote
Description: partial 16S ribosomal RNA
Rfam family: Bacterial small subunit ribosomal RNA
Source: RNAcentral